Long non-coding RNA from Quercus robur (English oak), 406 nucleotides. RefSeq lists it as uncharacterized. The transcript has 2 exons. The record is from RefSeq and is a predicted model, not a curated record. Lineage: Eukaryota; Viridiplantae; Streptophyta; Magnoliopsida; Fagales; Fagaceae.
UAGAACUCUAAUUUUAUGCCAUGUGUCUAGAAUCUGAAAUUGAAGUUGAAUUUUGCAUCAUGUGGCUAAAUGUUGGGCACCUAUAACAAUGAAGAAAGCACUGUUGUGGACCGAUGGAUGAUACUUUUUGUAGGCUGCAAAGGAACUUAGUGAUCAAUGAAAUCUCACGUGAAUUGGAGAGGACCCGGCUGUAGAUGUCUGGAUGGCAGAUGUGAGUCACUAUGUUUUUAAAAUGUUCAGUGAAGGUAAAUGUUAUGAACAAUGUAAAUUUUCCGGAGAGAGAUUUAUUAUUCUAUAUUUACGCAAGUUUGGUCGCCUUCUUGGAGUGGAUCACUCCACCCUGUCUUUCUACUGGAAUUUUUUAUUCAGAUUGUUACAAUUUAAUUCGAAAUUUUAUUUGAGUUUU